Molecule: long non-coding RNA, 1933 nt
Organism: Lotus japonicus
Lineage: Eukaryota; Viridiplantae; Streptophyta; Magnoliopsida; Fabales; Fabaceae
Exons: 3
Source: RefSeq, a predicted model, not a curated record
UGGGAAUUGGUGCUGUUCUAUCUCAAGAUAACUAUCCAAUUGCUUAUUUCUCUAAGAAGCUCUCUCCCCGUAUGCAAAAACAAUCUUCUUAUGUUCGUGAGCUUUAUGCUAUUACAAAGGCAGUAGCUAAGUUUUGUCAUUAUCUAUUUGGGCAUUUUUUUUCAUUAUUUGCACCGAUCAGUGUAGUCACAAACACAUUUCUUCUCAAGUGAUACAAACUCCUGAACAAGAAGCUUUGCUCCUUAAGCUCUUGAGAUUCAAUUACUCAAUUGAAUAUAACCCUGGUCCCACUAAUCAAGCUGUUGAUGCAUUAUCACGUUCCUUCCAUAUGGUUGUUUCAGUUCGCAUAUUAUUUAUCCUUGAUGAUAUCAAACGCGCAGUGCCAUAUUCCCCUAAGUUACAAGCUCUAAUUCACUAAUUUCAGACCGAUCCUGCAACGCUGCCACUUCAUGAUUUAACAGAUAACUUACUGUUUUGGUGCCACCGCUUGUUACUUCCUGCUGAUGCGCGUGAGCUUAGUACUCAAAUACUACAUGAAUUUCAUUCCUCGUCCAUUGAGGGUCAUGCUGGAUUCCUCAGAACACAUUCUCGCAUUGCGACUUAUUUUUCUUGGACAAGAAUGCGACAUGAUAUUCGUUAAUAUAUAAAUAAUUUCCAAGUAUUUCAACGUGCCAAAACCUAUCAAACACAUCCAGCUGGUUAAUUUGUUAAGCCCAUUGUUUAUUUCAAAUCAGGUUUGGGAAUACGUUGCUAUGGACUUUAUCAUCGGGCUUCCAUUAUCUAAGGGUUAUUCUGUUAUUGUUGUCGCUAUUGACCGACUCUCUAAGUUUGCUCAUUUUGUACUUUUGCGGUCCAAUUUGACAGCACCUCAAGCUGCAGAAGUUUUCAUUGACAUUGUGGUCAAGUUACACAGGAUUCCCACUUCCAUUGUGUUGGAUCGCGACAAGGUGUUAACUAGCUCAUUUUGGCAGAAUCUAUUCGAGCUCUAAGGCACUUCCUUAAAGAUGAGUUCCGCAUAUCAUCCCCAAACUGACGGUCAAUCUGAAGCACUUAAUAAAUGUUUAGAGGUGUAUUUGUGUUGCUUUGUUGCUGAGAACCCUCAUUUGGGGGUAUCGUUUCUUCCUUGAGCAUAAUUCUGGUAUAAUAGUUCAUUUUAAACAUCUACUGGUAUGACUCCUUUCAAGAUUGUAUAUGGCUGAGAACCUCCGACCAUCAUUCCUUGCUCUGUCCGUGAUGACACUCCCUUUGAUGUUCAUUCUAAAUUGGUUCAAAGGGACCAAAUCCUUGCUCAACUGAAGCUUGACUUUUCUCGCGCACAAACGCGUAUGAAGUUGAAUGCAGGGACCGCGGGAUGGAUUUUUAGAGUUUAGGGACGAAGUUGAAAGCGAGUAACACAUUUGGGGACCAAAUGCAGGGGAGAUCCAGGUUCUCAGCUCCAGAAGGCGCUUAAAUUCACCCUGUAUCGACCUUGGGUGCUCGUCAGGUUCGGCUCCAUAAUAAUUGGGUUCCACAAGUUCUGAUCCAGUGGGACGGUGCUGGUGAUUGCACUUGGGAACCUCUAUCUUAUAUCCAAGAUCAGUUCCCUCAGCUUGACCUUGAGGACAAGGUCUUUUUUUAUGAGGAGGGUAAUGUUAUGAUUUAGAAGGCAUUAGGUGACACCUCACAAGGACACGUGGCAGCUGAUAUGCACAAAGAAGGAAAUGGGUCUGAUUCUGUUAGGAGGAGUAACAGAGUCCACAAACCUCCAGUACGUUUUAGGGAUAGAGGGAGAGGAAUUGAGGGAUAUCUGAGAAUUGUUCUACUAUCUUGUGCUGUCAUUUUCCCUCUUUUGAAUUCUUAUUGAUCUUCUUAUGUCAUUCUGAAUCUUUUCUUAUUGUACGGAUGUGAACCUCUUCCUAAUUUCAAUAAUUUUGCCGAUGUUGUCUUUUUCUCA